Spodoptera frugiperda (fall armyworm) is the source of this 1582-nucleotide long non-coding RNA. RefSeq lists it as uncharacterized. The transcript has 3 exons. The record is from RefSeq and is a predicted model, not a curated record. NCBI's taxonomy places the organism in Eukaryota, Metazoa, Arthropoda, Insecta, Lepidoptera, Noctuidae.
UUGUAGUAUAUGUUGUUUAUAAGUAAGUAAUUUUAUUUCAAAAUAAAAAUACCUACCAACUAAUAAAUAUUAGCAAGUCAGCCCGUGAGUUUAGCUGGCUAUUACAAACUAAAAUCCUCAUAUUAGAAAUCACCGAUCGAUAUUAUAUUGUUUUCUCAGAUUAGUAAUACAAAUAACUUUGGACGGACAAACAUUAGUAUUAUUUGUCACAUUAUAUUGCGUCUGCUACAUGAAUCCCGCGCGUUCCGAUACACUCAAAAUCAGUUGAACGGACGGUAAAACAAGUAUCUUUAAAUUUCUAAUGUUAUAGUAAAUAGAGUAUAAUUAUGUAAUAUGAUUUUAUUAUGGUUGUUCUGCAGCGAUUUUUCAAUUGAUGUUAUAUCAUAAUUUGGGUAAGUAAAAUUUUAUUGCUAUAAUUUUUCUGAAUUUCGGAACGUAUUUAAUAAAUUCUGUUUUAUCUAUGGUAUGGAUAUUUACUUUGCAAUAAUUUUCAUGACAUGAGACUACAUUUUGCUGCAAUUACAAGCGAUUUGAUCUGGUUUUGUUAUAAUUUCGUUUCAAUUUUAUGCGAAUAGGUACUGAGUUUAUAAAAGUAACAUAAUAUUGUCUUGUACUUAUAUAAUUAGUUUUUGUGUAUUUCGGAUUCCGUUUACAUCUAGGUACCUACUAUGUCGGGGUCCUACGAGAAAGCUGGCGUAUCAACGCCACGAAUAUUCAGGCGCCCGUAAAUCGUCAAAACGAGUGAAAAGCGCAUUCAGUUGGAUACAUGUGGACGACAAGAUAGUAAACCUGUAAAUGAUAACUCAAGUUGUGGCCAGCUUCAUUGUAAACAAACUUUAGUUUUCAAGUUCAAGGACAAAUGCGUGUCAGUAACAUGGAUAAAUGCUACUUCAUAUGUUUUAUUUCAGUCAAUGAACCUUUGACUGUUAUAGAAGUUUGUCGAGAUAAUAUAAUGACUUUAUCAGCAAUAUGAUGCCAAAGUUAAUACACUUUUUUAAAGAAUGUAUUCUGCCAGAAAUAGUUUUGAGACAUGUUCAAAAAAAUGCGAAAUGUAUACCUAGGUAUGAAAGCAGUUGUGUAGCGGUAGUUUCCAGGCAAUAAUGAGGAAGGAUGAGUGAAAACAACACGACAAAUGUUUUUUUAUUGUACUAUUAUAGUAGUGUGUUUAGAAUCUACAUUAUCAAUGUUUACAGUCAUGUUUUUUUUAUGUCAGAAAACUGAAAUGGUGUACUCGUCGUAAUGAACAUAAUGUUCAUAAUGUGAUAUGAACACAUUGACCUAUUUUAAGGUUUCUGAAAAACAAAAAGGAAAGUUGUUGCUUUUUUAUUUCCUUAUGUAGUAUAGUGGUUAUGGAUGCUUAGAUAUUCUCAAACAUUUUUCCGCUUUGAUUGCAAUCUAUUAUUCUGGUUGCCUUGUUUAUGAAUUAUAGUUUUGAAUUAUUAUUUUGAAUGAGAUUAUUUUUUAAUAAUCAGUCACGUAUCAAGCAUUCAUGUCACAUAAAUACUUGUAAUAAUUGCAGGUUAGUAUAUACAUUCUAUUAAAUAAUGUAUAAGAUAAUAAAAUAAAACUGUCUUACAUUGCA